GAAUUAGGCAUAGAAAUAAAAUUGUUUUACUUACAUAGGUUACAAGGUCCCCCUCUUCUUCUUCUUCACCAUUACGGAAUUUGUUUCACUUUUGGCCACUCAAGAGUGAAUUAAACACAGUUCAUCUCUGAGCCUAUAAUCUGUUGUGUGCAAUGUUGAAAUUGCUUCCAUGGAAUUGUUUUUCAAGGGUGGAUAGAUUCUCCACUUAUUAUCCUUCAAUACAAAGCAAUCAUGGAAGGAGAGGCUUCAGUUGAGUGUCAAGAUUGGGAGCUCCUAGACAAAUCCAACGUCAACCUGACCAAUUCUGGCUAAUUUAUGUGGUGAUAGUCUAGCUUUUGGUGAUGUUGCGAAGAUGAUCGAGGGUUCUGAGUUUUUGGGUGACUAUAAGCUAAGCUACAUCAACCAUAGAUAGGUAUAAAUCCAAGAGUGGAUGGAAGGCGUCUCCGCAUUACAAUGUUUCUGUAUUAAAGGAUGUCCUCAACUAUCAGAAAGAUGCAAAAACAACAUGGGCGUUGAUUGGCCCAAGAUUAAUUGCUUGUAUCCCAAAUAUUAGUAUUGAUGGAAGAUGGAUUCAAGAGGAUGGCUGCUACCAACUAUGAUUUGACGCAUCAGACUUCUCAUGGGAAUUGGUUGGAACUUUUAUCACCAAAUGCAUGUUUUGAGUGAGAUCUAGCAAUAGUUAAAGUUGGGUUAAGAUUGCAGUUGAUGAUCAAAUCUGACAAGCAUGCUCAAGGAAUUUGCUUUUGUAUUUUUCAAGUCUGGAAUGCAUGACUAUUACCCUCUCAAAUUGGUUAGCAUCUUAAGUGGCAAUAUGUUCUGCGAAAUUAUUAACCUGCAAAGAAAUGGAAGUGUUCCCAUAUAAGUUUAAGUGAGCUAUGGAAAGUCAAAUGAGCAUUAUGCAACUCUUGUAUCUUUAAUUUUGGACUUUGGAAAUUGAUGAUGGCUCUGCUUGUUGAAAGAUUCCAAAGAAGAGCAAUUUUGGAUUGGCCUCUCAUAUGCCAGUGCCAGAAAGUCUUAGUUUAUUACUA
Hevea brasiliensis (rubber tree) is the source of this 1028-nucleotide long non-coding RNA. RefSeq lists it as uncharacterized. The record is from RefSeq and is a predicted model, not a curated record. NCBI's taxonomy places the organism in Eukaryota, Viridiplantae, Streptophyta, Magnoliopsida, Malpighiales, Euphorbiaceae. The transcript has 5 exons.